This 560-nucleotide ribosomal RNA is filed under the name Bacillus velezensis. RNAcentral's name for it is "bacterial SSU rRNA". It matches the Rfam family "Bacterial small subunit ribosomal RNA", at positions 961 to 1521 of the family's 1533-position model. Lineage: Bacteria; Bacillati; Bacillota; Bacilli; Caryophanales; Bacillaceae. The record is from RNAcentral.
GCGAAGAACCUUACCAGGUCUUGACAUCCUCUGACAAUCCUAGAGAUAGGACGUCCCCUUCGGGGGCAGAGUGACAGGUGGUGCAUGGUUGUCGUCAGCUCGUGUCGUGAGAUGUUGGGUUAAGUCCCGCAACGAGCGCAACCCUUGAUCUUAGUUGCCAGCAUUCAGUUGGGCACUCUAAGGUGACUGCCGGUGACCAACCGGAGGAAGGUGGGGAUGACGUCAAAUCAUCAUGCCCCUUAUGACCUGGGCUACACACGUGCUACAAUGGGCAGAACAAAGGGCAGCGAAACCGCGAGGUUAAGCCAAUCCCACAAAUCUGUUCUCAGUUCGGAUCGCAGUCUGCAACUCGACUGCGUGAAGCUGGAAUCGCUAGUAAUCGCGGAUCAGCAUGCCGCGGUGAAUACGUUCCCGGGCCUUGUACACACCGCCCGUCACACCACGAGAGUUUGUAACACCCGAAGUCGGUGAGGUAACCUUUUUGGAGCCAGCCGCCGAAGGUGGGACAGAUGAUUGGGGUGAAGUCGUAACAAGGUAGCCGUAUCGGAAGGUGCGGCUGG